RNAcentral lists this ribosomal RNA (518 nucleotides) under uncultured bacterium. Its description in RNAcentral is "bacterial SSU rRNA". It matches the Rfam family "Bacterial small subunit ribosomal RNA", at positions 221 to 732 of the family's 1533-position model. The record is from RNAcentral.
UUGGAGCGGCCGAUAUCAGAUUAGCUAGUUGGUGGGGUAAAGGCCUACCAAGGCAACGAUCUGUAGUUGGUCUGAGAGGACGACCAGCCACACUGGGACUGAGACACGGCCAGACUCCUACGGGAGGCAGCAGUGGGGAAUUUUGGACAAUGGGCGCAAGCCUGAUCCAGCAAUGCCGCGUGCAGGAAGAAGGCCUUCGGGUUGUAAACUGCUUUUGUCAGGGAAGAAAUCCUCUAGGUUAAUACCCUUGGGGGAUGACGGUACCUGAAGAAUAAGCACCGGCUAACUACGUGCCAGCAGCCGCGGUAAUACGUAGGGUGCAAGCGUUAAUCGGAAUUACUGGGCGUAAAGCGUGCGCAGGCGGCUUUGCAAGACAGAUGUGAAAUCCCCGGGCUCAACCUGGGAACUGCAUUUGUGACUGCAAGGCUAGAGUACGGUAGAGGGGGAUGGAAUUCCGCGUGUAGCAGUGAAAUGCGUAGAUAUGCGGAGGAACACCAAUGGCGAAGGCAAUCCCCUGG